Oryzias melastigma (Indian medaka) is the source of this 178-nucleotide long non-coding RNA. RefSeq lists it as uncharacterized. Lineage: Eukaryota; Metazoa; Chordata; Actinopteri; Beloniformes; Adrianichthyidae. The record is from RefSeq and is a predicted model, not a curated record. The transcript is spliced from 3 exons.
CUCCACUUUGGGAGGAAAACCCUGACGCAAAAGAUGUGGUUCACGUUGAAACAGAAAAAGACUUCAGAAAGUUGCUGAAGAAAGAAGAGAAGCCAGUGCUCAUGAUGUUUUAUGCUCCCUGGUGUGGAGUUUGUAAAAGAAUGCAGCCCAUUUUUCAGCAAGCAGCCACUGAGGCAAA